ACAGCUUCUCCAACUGUGAGGUAGAUAUUCUUUUCGCCGAUGAGCUCGGUGAAUUUCGCCAGCUGGAGCUUCUCGAUCACGGCUGGCCCCGGAUUGGCAAGAACAAGCUAAGGUGACAAUUGCGAAUUGUAUAUAUAUGUUAACUCACAAACUAUAGUAAGUAGUAAGUACUAACAUUUUUUUUUUUUUUCUCAAAAAAAAAGUAAGUACUAACAAAUUUUUAGUUUCUACACACAUGAUUGAAUCAUAGAACUACUAUAUAUGCCUUUUAGAAGCGCGAAGGCUAUUAUAACAACAUUCCAUGGUUUUCGAAAAUUAUCAACAUUCAACUUCAUUUGGAUUCAUCUAUGUCACGUAUAGGCUCCUUAACUUUUCAAUUUUGCGAUGAAUUAAGCCACAGGAUAAAUGAUAUAUAUCGAAAAAUCUUGAAAUUCAGUCUCUAAACAUUCAACAGUAUGGAUUGUCAGUUCAAAUGCUCUAUCAUUCUUUGUGCUUCUAAAAGUAUAUAUAGUGGCCUCGUUCCAGUACUGAUUUAGUUUUAAAGAAGAGUGAGUUUAUCUUUUCCCCUGCUAACCUGAACGCUGCGCUUUCGGAGGAUAGUAUGUAGCUCCUCAAAGCCAUGAAUACCGGUUGUGUCGAUCUCGGUAACCGCUGUAAAGAGUAGUACAAAGCAGCAGAGUUUACUCACUUGAACAUAAGUAUAGAUCAAUUAAACUAACAAGAAUUAUGGAAAAAAGCGAUGCUUGUCUUACGUGACAACUCCACGAUCAAGAACUCGAUUCUCGGAAGGUUUUGCUCUUUGAUUCUAUCUUCCUCAUCUCUCAGCCAUCUUAGAAUUCUGCAAGGAUAAAAAAAAAAAUUGCAGUACAUGCUUUAUCUUAGCAUAAUGUUAAAGCUAAUCCUAUUACGUUAAAGCUAAUCUAAAAAGGAGAAAGAUAGUAUACUUAUUAUGUCAGUUUUUUAUGUACAAAAAGAUUACGAAUAUUGAUUUUAAUAAAGCUAUGUACAACCGAACAUCUCUGACUUAGUAAUAUAUGGAGUCAAUUUAGUGCCUGAACUUAAUUUUUAUUCUCUGAACUUCCUUUAUACUGAAAUUUGAUUCCUGCCCUGAGAAAAAUGUUUUUAAGUUUUUCUGACAGAGUGACCAUCAUACCUCUUCUGUAGAUUGACUCUUUAAUUUGCUUGGCUACAAUUGAAACAGGGUUAAAAUUAAAGAUCAUUUUAUAGUUGAAAAGUCAUGUGUUGUCAUUUGUUUUUUUAGCGAUCCGGGAUGGAAUUACAUCAUUUGAGAACUAAGUACUAAUAUUAGGAUAAUACAGUGAUUAUCCAUGCAUUUUACCUGAAAAAAAAGGAAAAUGUAUAGCCAAGAUGAGAAACCGAGCUGUUACCUCUCCUUUAUAUAGUUGGAAUUGUUGAAAUAGAUCGCAGAAUCCACUCUGACAACCACAACUCCUGGAACUUUGGUCGCCUCGGGGUAUUGAUCGACAUUCCUAUAUAUAGUGGUCCUCGGAAGGUUUCCGAGUAAAACCGUCCUUGGCCUUGUUACUUGAAGAAUUAUCUUAGCAACCGAUAUCGACACCUAUUCAGCAGAGGAAGAACAAAUUAUAUUCCUUUCAAGGACUUAAAUGAACAUAUGUUUGGUAAAUAACCAGAUUCUUACAGCAAUUAGGAGACCGAUCUCGACAGAGAUGAAAAUAACUCCGAAGAAAGCUCCCAUGCACGCAAUAAAGUCCAACUUAUCGCAUUUCCAGAUAAGGUAUGCACCUUUAAUGUCAAUCAAGUUAAGUACGGCCGAAAUAAUGAUCGAUGCGAGGAUUGCAUUCGGGGUGUAUUUGAACAAAGGAGUGAUCAGUAACAAUGUGAGUAAUACGACUAUCGACAUCACUAUAUUGGACACUGCUGUGCUACAACCAGCCAUGAAAUUGACCGCGGAUCUUGAGAAGGACCCUGCAUACAAAACCACCCCUUUUGUUUUAACUCACGACACUAAAUUUUAAUUUUACAGUAAUAAUUUUCUAGUCAUGGAGUGCAGUUUAUUGUAUCCAUCGAAGUAAACUGGAAAAAUUUACCUGUUGCUAUGUAGCAAGAAGUCAAAGAACCGAUGAUAUUCAUCGUUCCUAGCGCGACCAUUUCCUUGUUUCCGUCAAUUUGGUAAUCCUUCAUUGCGGCAAAUGUUCUACCAAUUGCUAUUGCUUCCUGAUAAGUUUUAAUAGUUUAGUCCAAGUAAUACAUAUCUGUAAGUUGUUACUGAAACACUAAAUUUUGCGUUUAUAUUACAGUCAAGGCCACCAUUCCAGCUACCGCGCCGAUUCUGAAUCCUUUUCCAAGAUAUGGACCAGUGAAGUGAAUUUUAUGAACCGACGACGGAUUAACACCCUUCCUUAUGUCUUUCACCUG
Molecule: long non-coding RNA, 2397 nt
Filed under: Ananas comosus (pineapple)
Lineage: Eukaryota; Viridiplantae; Streptophyta; Magnoliopsida; Poales; Bromeliaceae
Description: long non-coding RNA (ACOM_LNC022778)
Source: RNAcentral